This 74-nucleotide transfer RNA is filed under the name Nanobdellota archaeon. RNAcentral's name for it is "tRNA-Ile". It matches the Rfam family "tRNA". Rfam says of the family: Transfer RNA (tRNA) molecules are approximately 80 nucleotides in length. Their secondary structure includes four short double-helical elements and three loops (D, anti-codon, and T loops). Lineage: Archaea; Nanobdellati; Nanobdellota. The record is from RNAcentral.
GAUCCCGUAGCUCAGCUGGUUAGAGUACUGUCCUGAUACGACAGGGGUCCCAGGUUCAAAUCCUGGCGGGAUCA